UAACAACAGUUUGAUCAUUCUCAUGAGC
This 28-nucleotide non-coding RNA is filed under the name Rattus norvegicus (Norway rat). The record is from RNAcentral. Lineage: Eukaryota; Metazoa; Chordata; Mammalia; Rodentia; Muridae.